Psammomys obesus (fat sand rat) is the source of this 1843-nucleotide non-coding RNA. NCBI's taxonomy places the organism in Eukaryota, Metazoa, Chordata, Mammalia, Rodentia, Muridae. The record is from the annotation of a RefSeq genome assembly.
GUGGGACAGUGACCACCAUAGGAAAUUGGCUUCUGUGUUGUUAGGCUGGAUGGGUGGACAUAGGGAUUUUUGUACACACACUGAAUGGGGUCUGUGAUAGUGUGACUACUUUGACUACUGGGGCCAAGGAACCAUGGUCACCGUCUCCUCAGAGAGUUCGUCCUCCCCAUCUGUCUUCCCCCUCGUCUCCUGCGAGAGCCCCCUGUCUGAUGAGAAUUUGGUGGCCAUGGGCUGCCUGGCCCGGGACUUCUUGCCCGACUCCAUUUCCUUCUCCUGGAAGUACCAGAACAACUCUGAUAUCAGCCAGGGUGUCAGAACCUUCCCAACACUGAGGACAGGGAACAAGUACACAGCCACCUCGCAGGUGCUCCUGUCUCGGAAGAAUGUCCUUGAAGGUUCAGAUGAAUACCUGGUAUGCAAGGUCCGCCACGGCAACAAUAACAAAGAUCUGCAUGUGCCCAUUCCAGCUGGCACAGAGAUGAGCCCCAAUGUGAGUGUGUUCGUUCCACCACGUGACGCCUUCUCAGGCCCUGCACCACGCAGGUCCAGACUCUACUGCGAGGCCACCAACUUCAGUCCCAAAGAAAUCACAGUGUCCUGGCUACAGGACGGGAAGCCUGUGAAGUCUGGCUUCACCACAGAGCCGGUGACCGCCGAGGACAAAGGAUCCAAACUGCGGACCUACAAGGUUGUAAGCUCACUGACCAUCACCGAAAGUGACUGGCUGAACCUAAGCGUGUACACCUGCCGUGUGGACCACAGGGGUCUCAUCUUCUGGAAGAAUGUGUCCUCCUCGUGCGCCGCCAGUCCAUCCACAGACAUCCUAGCCUUCGCCAUUCCCCCCUCCUUUGCUCACACCUUCAUCAACAAGUCUGCCAAGCUGACUUGCCUGGUCACAAACCUGGCAACAUAUGACACCCUGAAUAUCUCCUGGUCUUCCCAAAGUGGUGAGGCACUAGAAACCAACAUGAAACCCAUUGAAAGCCACACCAAUGGCACCUUCAGUGCUGAGGGUGUGGCUUAUGUUUGUGCGGAAGACUGGAAUAACAGAAAGGAGUUCAUGUGCACUGUGACCCACAGGGACCUGCCUUCACCACAGAAGAAAACCAUUUCAAAACCCAAUGAAAUGAAUCGUCCACCUGCUGUGUAUAUGCUGCCGCCAGCCCGUGAGCAACUGAUCCUGAGGGAGUCAGCCACAGUCACCUGCCUGGUGAAGGGCUUCUCUCCUGCAGACAUCCUUGUUCAGUGGCUUCAGAGGGGGCAACCCUUGCCCUCAGACAAGUAUGUGACCAGUGCCCCGAUGCCAGAGCCCCAGGCCCAAGGCCUCUACUUCGCCUACAGCACGCUGACUGUGGCAGAGGAGGAAUGGAAUUCUGGAGAGACCUACACCUGUGUUGUAGUCCACGAGGCCUUGCCACACACGGUUACCGAGAGGACCGUGGACAAAUCCACUGAGGGGGAGGUGAAUGCCGAGGAGGAAGGCUUUGAGAACCUGUGGACCACGGCCUCCACCUUCAUCGUACUCUUCCUCCUGAGCCUCUUCUACAGCACCACUGUCACCCUGUUCAAGGUGAAGUGAAUCACAGCAAGGAAGGACAUCAGAGAGCAAGAAACCCUCCCCCAGGAACACUGCCUCUGGGUGGGAUGAGCUGCCUGCAUGACUAGUAAACCUAUUCCUCCGUCUUCCCUGUGUUGCCCUCCAGCUUUGAGCUCUGGGAUGGGCUUCUUCCUAGACUGGUCAAAGGCUUUGUCAGUUUGUGCCACCUGAAGCAGCGUCUGGCCUACAGAUGACUGUGCUGCACACGAAUGGCACUUGUAAAUAAACUUCAUUGUGUGAACCCAC